Molecule: long non-coding RNA, 13404 nt
Filed under: Gossypium raimondii (Peruvian cotton)
Lineage: Eukaryota; Viridiplantae; Streptophyta; Magnoliopsida; Malvales; Malvaceae
Description: long non-coding RNA (GRAI_LNC004446)
Source: RNAcentral
ACCGUUCAUCUAUUAAUUUAUCCUUGCAUGAGAACAUCUAUCAAUAGAGGAAAUAUCAGGCUUCUUGCUUACUACAGUUUAGUCACCCGUUUUUUAGUGUGAGCACUCUUUCAAAUAUGAACACUCUCUUCAGGGAUCAUUGAGAUUCACCUGAGUAUAACAAUUUUAUAAUCCCUCAAAAGGAAUAACAGAAUGCGUCCUACCAUGCACGUCCCUCACAUACUCCAUGAUGGUAAUCACCCUGCCACGUCCUUUACCAAACAAUAGGUAUUUCCUAUAAAUACCCUCCAAGACGAUGAGAAAUGGAUAUUCUACCUCAUUAGCAACUUUGAGUACUUGCUCUCUACAUUUAGCCUUCACAACAACCUUCUCCCUCCUCUUGUACAUUCUUUGGCUCUCCAGGUGAGCUCACCUCCUUUGCAUCAUCACUUCCUCCUCCCUAGCUUUUCCCUUAUAAAGACUUAUAUCAUCAGACUUGAUUUGGAAAUAAAAUUUGACGAACUUAAAUUUGAAUUUGAUGUAAAUAAAUUCAUCAUGAAAAAUUAGUAAUUUGAAUUUGUUUAACUAUAUGAACGAUAUGAACCCAGUUGUCAAACACAAAUCUACAAUGAAUUGAAUCUAAAAUGACCUACACUUGAAAUGAUAUGAACCCAGUUGUCAAACACAAAAGAAUAAAAUUUAUUCAAAAUGGUUUGAAUUUGAAAUGGCCCAAAUGGAAAACCCGAAUCACCUAUGUUGACACCAUUUUUUGGAUGAAAAACGGGGUCGACUUGGGUUUUGACGAAAACGAAUAAAACGGGAGUCGCCACCAAUCCUUUUUGAUGAGGUGUGAUUGGAUCACCUUGAAAACUGAUUGUUUUUAAUAAACGAUUUUAUUUUUUAUUAAAACAACGAUUUUGGUCCACGAAAUCCAAAAAAACGGGUUCGGGAAUCAGUUACGCACGAGGAAGGAUUAGCACCCUCAAUACGCCCAAAAUUGGUACCUAGUUGAUUACUUAAUGUUUUAAUGUCGAAAAUUGAGAACUUUGAAGAAUUUUAAAAAUACGAUCCUUGUAUUAAAAUAAUAAAAAAAUAGAAAAGAAGCAUAUUUUACGUUAUUCGAGAAAGAGAAUCAUAUCCAGUGAGUUAGGACACAAUGUCUCGAGUUCCCGAUACGCGAAUAAAAAAUGCUUAUUUUAAAAAUAUUUUAUCCAUCUCGGAUUUAAAAAACGAAAUCACGACCAGUAAGUUAGGACGCGAUUUUUUAAUCCCGAGAUCAUUUAAAAUUCGAAUUUAAAAAGAUUCGUGCAUUUAGAUUUAUCGUGAAAAUCGAAACCCAGUAAGUUAGGGUACAAUCCUCUCGAAUCUAGACACGAAAUAUUAUUUAUUCAAAACAAAUUUUGUUAAAUAAAGUAUAAUAAAACACGAAAAUCGUAACGGAAAUGCGAAAGCAAAUUACAUUGUUGUUAUGCAUGGUAAAAUUAUAAUGCACGCAAAAGUAUUAUAGCAACAAUAUAAAAUAAGAUCGAACCUACAACAUCCAAACAAGUAAAAUAUAAAAACGAAUAAAAUUAAAUCAUUCAUUCAAAAUAAAUAAUGAAAAUGAAAUAAAUAAAGAGUAAAUACAAUAAAAAAAACAAAGAAAUAUAUAUGUGUAUAUAUAUGUAUAUGGACAUAAAUUAAAAUAUGUACAUAUAUAUUAUAAGAAAGGUAUACAUAAAUAUUGCAAAAUAUAGGAAUAUAUGCAUAUAGAUGAAAAGAUAUAUACAUAUGUGGAAAAUGAAAUGACAUAAUAUAUAUAAACAACAUACGUAUUUUAAUAUAUAUAAAAACAUAUAUAUAUGCAUAUAAAAUUGAGUAGGUAUAUUAAAUAAGUUAAAUAUAUAUAUACGUAUAUGUAUAUAAAAACAAUUGUAUAAUAAUAAUAUAUUAAAACAAAUAUAUUUAAAAAUUUCAUGAGUGAAUAUAAGAAAACAAUAAUACUAACAAUAGUAUUAAUAAAUAUAAUAAUAAUAGUAAAGAUACUAAUGAUAAUAAUAAUAAUAACUAAAUAUUAAUAAAAAAUUGCUAAAAUAUGGACUGAAUCGAAAUAAAAACAAAAGUAUUGGGCGAAAUCGAAAUAAGAAAAGGCAAAAGGGACUAAAUCGUGUAGCACGCUGAAAGAAGGGGUACCAAAAUGGUAAAUACCCCAAAGCCCCAAAACGCUGCGCUUAGAUGAGGACUAAAAUAAAUCAAAAAUAAAACUUUAUGGCCAAAUUGCAAAUAUGCGAAAAACUUCCAUGAAAGCGCUACAAAAUCAAAGGGACUAUUUGCGCAAAUAAUCCAUCUGAAGAAAAUGCGCGGAUCCUCCCCCUGGGUCGGGUCACCGCGCGGGUCAGGGCCAAAACGGCGUCGUUUUGGCACCUGACCCCUAAGGGUAAAACGGCGUCGUUUUGUGAGGGUUAUUUAAACCAAAAUUUUUUUAAAAUCUUCAUUUUAUUCUUCUCCUUCUAAAAAAACUGAAAAAAACCUCUCAAGUUUCUCUCACCCUCUCUCUCAGCCCAGAAUCCGGCGAGGAGGGUCGCCGUUGACGCCGCCGCGCCGGCCACCGUACACGGUGGCCAGAAAAUUCAAGAAAGGUAUUUUUUUUUUUUGCACUUUUCUCUUUAUAUUAUAUGUUUAUAUAAAUAAAUAAACAAAAAAAAAUUAAAAUAUCUGAGAAGAAAACGAAAAUAAAAGGGAACCGACAAUCACCUUUAAACUCUUUUUUUUUGCUUUUUAUUUCUGAAAACGUUAACAAAAAAGAAAACUCCCCCCAUUACAAGAAUGAAGUUCGGUCCCCCUUUUUUUGAUUUCUGUUAUGACUUUAUAGCCAUUUACAACUUGUAUUCUAUUAUUAUUAUUUUUUCUUGUCAUUUCCUUCUCUGGUUUUGCAGGCAAGUGGCGAUGGGACGUGAGGCGGCGGCGUGACAGUGCUGGUGAAGGCGGCGCCGGAAGACUAAAGGUCUAAAGACCUUAGGUGCGGCGCUAGGGUUUCUUUUCUGAAACCCUAGCUAAGCUUUGAGGGGGUUGGGCCAGUUGGGCCUUGUUUUGGGCUCCGGGUUUGGGCCUGCUAUUUUGUUUUUUGUAAUCUGGACUGCUAUUGGGCCUGGGCGAAAUUUGGGCUAUACAACCUAGAAACUGACUUGAAGCCCAAAUGACUCGAUUGAUUUGAAUCAAUUGAUUUGAGUUUAAAAAGUCAAUCAUUCAAACUUGUCUAACCAAACUUGAAAAUAAUUUGAACUUAUAAUGAUCUGAACCCAAAACGACAUAAAAUCCAAAAUGUUCGAACUUAAGUGUCAAGCUCAAUCAAAAAUCCUAAAAUGACCCAACUUGAAAACUCCAAUGACGAAAUUUGGAUGAUCAAAUUUUGAAAUCAUUUGUGUAAUAGCCAUUUUGCCCGGGGCCCAAAACUCGGAAGCCCAAAAUCCAAAUACAAAUAGUCUAGAAAAUACAAAUAAUAACCCAAUCACAAAUGGGCCCAAAAAUUAAAAACCUAGCCCAAACAACAUUAACAUUUUCAGCAGAAAUGAGUAAAAGAAACCCUAGGAGCCGCAUGCCUCGGGUGGCCUCCUCGCCUGCCACACCUAGCCGCACGCCUCUGCUCCUGCCCGCCAACCGCCGCAAGCGCGCCAGGCCUUCUUCAUGCGUGUCAGACACCUACAAAACAAAAGUAGCAAAAAGCAACAGACGAAUAAUCCAAGAUGAAAAAUGACAAACACAAUAGAUUUAGGAGUUUGAAAUCGGCUAUAAAGGCCGAAGCUUGUGAUGGUUUUGGGUCUUCUUCGAUUUUCUUUGUAAAAGAAAAGCAUAACAAAGAUUGAAAAUAAAAAAAGAGAACAAACGGUUGCGGUUUUCUUCUUUUUUUUCGACUCAUUCAUUUAUUUUAUUUAUUAUUAUUUUUCUUUCUUUUUACAAAUCUGUUCUAAAAAACUUUUAAUAAAAGAAAAUAAAAAAGGGAGAGGGGAAGAAGAAGGGUCACCUGAAUCGCUGUAAGCCCCGUCGUCGGAGGCUCCUUUCCGUCACCGGAGUCAGACCAAGAGAAGGCGAGAAAGACUCUUCUCCUUCGGUCUUUCGGGAUUGAAGGUCGGGCCUUCGGGCGAGAUCUAAAACGGGUUGAAAACCCGAAGUUUCGGUGGUCCUGGCCACCGCUUGCGGAGAGGCCACGGCGGCCUCUGGCCGGAAGCCCGACGGUCGGACUGGGAGCCCGCGAGAGAGAGGGAGGCUGAGCCCUCUGUUUUCUUUUGAAAAAAUGAAACAAACAGUUAUUUAUUUAUUUAUUGUAUUUAUAUUAGAAUUAAAACGGCGUCGUUUCAAGAGUGGCCGACCUGCAUGCGCGACCCGACCCGCCAGGGGGAUCCGCGCGUUUCUGAUAAAGGGGCUAUUUCGUCCUUGGUCCCUCCUCGUUAUUAUUUUGUUUUAAUUUAGUCCUUUUCUUGUUUAGUUAUCUUUUUAUUUUGGCCCCACGAAUGUUCAGCAUUUUCCUUUUUAGUCCGCAUUGAAUUGUUGUGUGCUUGGGCUGGGAUAAUUGCGCGAUCAGUCCCUCCUGCUUGACGCGCGUUUUACUUUAGUCUUUCUUUAUCAUUUUAUUUCAUUUUAAAAUAUGUCCCCUAUUUUUUAUCUUUUAUUAUUAUUUUUCUUAUAUUUCAUCAUUAAUAUUAUUAUUUACUGAUUCUUAUUUUUUAAAUUUUAAAUUUGGUUAUAUACAUAUAUAUACAUAUAACUGUUUUUUUCAUAUUUUAUAAUUUCAAAGCAUACAUAUAUAUACAUGCAUACAUUUCUUCAACAUAUACGUACGUACUUUAUUAUUAUUAUUAUAAAAUAUACAUGUAUACACAUACUCUCAUAUUUUUAGACAUUUCAUAUUUUUCAUAUACAUAUACAUCCUUACACAUAUUUUUAUAUUUGAUAAUUUUAAAAUAUAUACAUACAUAGAUUUUUCAUAUUUUCAUAAUUUUGUGUACAUUCAUGUAUAUACGUUUUUUUUACAUCUAUUCGUUAUUUAUUUAUUUAAUUACAUUUUCAUUAUUAUUUAGAAAAGAGGAUUCGAUUUUAUUUGCCUAUGUAUUUGUCACUUUGUAUGUUAUUGAUUGGUCCAUUUUAUUAUCUUAUUUUUGUUGCUAUUACUCGUGUUGUUUUUAUGCUAUCAUAUUCAUUAUUGUUUUGCUAUGCAUAUUAACACCUUACAUCAAAAAGAAAAUUUUUUUCUAAAUAAAGCAAUGUUUUGCGUUUGGAAAAUCGAGAAAAUGUGCCCUAACGUGCUGGGUUUUGAUUUCUCGUUCGACCAAAAUAGCCAAAUAUCUUUUUUAAACUUUCAAAAUAAGGCAAUAUUUCGUAUUUAGAAAAUUCGAGAAAAUCGUGCCCUAACUUACUGAGCUUCGAUUUUUCUCGCAUUGAUCCUAAAUAAUUGAAUAUCCUUUUAAAAUUGAAAUAAAUAAGGUUUAAAUAAAAAAUAAAAGGCAAGCUUACUCUCAAAAAUACGAGGUGUCGUGUUCUAACUUACUGGAUGUGACAUCUUGUUACUUCAAGCUAAGGGGGCAUUUUCCAUUUUGAUUUAUUCGAGUAAUUUUAAAAUAACACAAUAUAAAGAGGGAUCGUAUUUUUAAAUUAUUUUCGAGUUUUUAAUUUUCGACACCAAGACAUUAAGUAAUCAACUAGGUACCAAUUUUGGGCGUUACGAGGGUGCUAAUCCUUCCUCGUACGUAACCGACUCCUGAACCUAUUUCUUUGAUUUUCGCAGACCAAAUGCAUUGUUUUAAUAAAUCUAAAUCGUUUAUUAAAAAUAACCGUUUUACGAGGUGACCCGAUCACACCUCAUCAAAAAAGAUUGGUGGGGACUCCUGUUUUCGUUUUAUUUUUAAAAUCCAAGUCGACCCCGUUUUCAUCAAAAAAAAUGGUGUCAACAAUUUGAACUUGAAAAGAGACAAGAACUAAACCCAAAAUUAUUACUCAAAAUAAUCUUAAAAAAUUAAACCCUAAAUUGAUGAAGCCCAUAUUUAUCCAACUCAUCCAAUUAAUUAGCGAUGGGGGAUGAGGAUUUAGGUUAAAGUUCAAAGUAUAAAAUUGAUAAAAGAAAUAGUAAGAUAAUCUUUGUAGGUUUUUAGUGAAUGAAGUGUGAGAAAAUAUAAGGCAUAAUUUUUACUGUUAGACAUUUUUAUUUGUCAAUUUGUUUUUUUAAUUUAAUUUUACCCUUAACCUAUCAAAAGGAGUCGAAUAUUAUCAUCAACCUUUUAGAAAGAGUCGAAUUGUUAUUUUUUAACGGGAAUAUAAAUUAAAACAUUAAUUUUUUAAACAUGAUAACUAGCAUAAUAAUCUACGUGUACUUCAUUUUUUUUAAUUUUAUGAACUUUUUAUAUUUUUUGAUUUUUAAAUAUUUUAUAAUUUUUAAAUUAUUUUUUGAUGUGAGAUAUAAGACAAAUAGUAUUAUAUCAGUAAGAAAUACACGUGAACGGAUUGCCACGUGAGCUGUCAUGACAACAUCAUUAAAAAGUUAAUGUUUUAACCAUUAUUUCUAUUAAAAAAUUAUUUAACUUUAUUUUUGAAAAGUUAAUAAUCAAAUUUAGUUUAAAAAUAAAAAUUAAAUUUUUGAAAAAUAUAAAUAUUAAAAAUUAAAUUUCUCAUUAUACCAAAAUAUAAGUGAAUUAAAAGGUAAAUUGUAGGGAUAUAACACUGUCGUUGAAACAAUUAAGCAAUUGAGGUAUGAUGGUGAAAGUAUCAUUUAUCAAAUUAAUUGAGUUGAAAAGCUGGAGCCGAUAUUAAGGUUGGAAACAGUAAUGUUAUAUCACAAUCUAUAAAAGAUGAAGACACGUCAGGUGGUUGCCAUCAAAGAAAUCAGCUUUCAAGCCUUUGGGUUUUAAAUUACUUUUGAAGUGGAAAACACUAUUGGAAUCACAAGAAAUAAAAACAUGCAUGGUUGACAAAAUAACCAAACAGUGACGUGAUCUGUCAUGUGUACCUCAUGUUGACGUACAAUGACCAAUUUUUAACAACAGAAAUGGAUAAAAUUUUUAACAAAAAGGUCAAUUUACUUUUUUAUCUAAUAUACAAGAACUAAUUUGCCUAUUUUUUUAGUAGAAGGGGCCUCAAUGGUACUUUUACCUUUAUAACCUAAUGUACCAUAUGCAAUAUUUAUAUUGGGUAUGUUAGUAAAAAUCUUCGGUGAGAAAAAUCUCAAACACACGAACGGAAUAUGAACAACAACUCAAACAGAAAAUGAAGAAAUAGGACAAAGCUCCAAGACGUGUAUCAAGCCACUAUCUUUAAGGUUCUAUUUUCUCCCACCUAUACUCGAUGUGCAAAUGAGUGUCAAGCAAAUGAACCUCGAGGAUACAAUGAAGCCUGAUUAUUAUUUGUGUUUUGCACUGACGAAAAUAAUCCACUAAGCAAUGUAUAACAAGAAAAUCAAUUUAUAUAAAGAAUUUUUGCAGUAACCCUUUAUAGAACAAUCUAAUAAUAUUAGAAGAUGGAGGAAAGUUAGAAAGAAUUUUUAGAACUUGUUUGUAUGAUUUCCAAAUGAAAUAUCAUUCCUAUUUAUAGGAAUUUCCAUGUCUCUUCAUAAAAACAUAUUUCAAUAGGUGUCUUUUUGUGAAUAAUAACAUUUUUAAAAAGACACAUAAUUAUUCAUCUAAUAUUAUAACUAUUCAAAUAAUAUUGUUUGAAUGGUUAUAACUUUUUGUCAAAAAUCAAGUGAUAUAACUCUUGACCAAUAACCUAAAGAUUUAAAUUUUGAUUAAUUACACCCUUUCAUUUAUAGUUAUUGGAACACUAUCAAUAUUUGAAAAUGUUCUAGCAAUCUCCCCCACAUUUUCAAAAUAUUUUAGAUUUUGAUAUUCUUGGAAAUCAAUUUGCAUAAAUAAAGGUGACUUACGAUUGAAACUUCACUUAGUGAAAACAUGUUAGAGUUAAUCGAAAUUGCAUGGUAGACUAAGUUUUGAACCAGCUAUUCCAUUUGAUUAACCGAACACAUCUCACACAAUGAUUUCAAUAUUGGUCAAUGCAUAGUACCCAGGGACACUACUAUGGCCAUGUGUCUGUGUCCUCUUUUCAUGAGUGUUGUAAGAGCCAAGCCCUUGAUCUCUUAGAAGCGGCCACACUUCCACUCACAUAGGUAGAUCCUAUCAAGAGUGUUCCCGUAAUUAUAACACUCUAACAUAUUUAAUUUAUGGGUCCAUUAAGAGUACAUUACUCACCCUUCCCUUAUCAUUAUGUGUACCUAGCACUUCAAUCUUAGGAUGGAUUUAUUUAUAGUUCUAGUAGUCACAUACUAACGAUGUAUUUUGUCUCAUUGAACUCAAGACUUGAUGUUAUACCAAGCGUUAAGUCAAUUUUCCAUCAUGGGUGACUCUAGUUAAUGGACUUGAGUCUCAUCCCUUUUCAGGUCUUGUUGACUACAUUUUUAGCAAGGUGUUUUGUCAAAAGAUCUGCCAAAUUUUCACUUGACCUUAUAUAAUUAAUAGUGAUCACUCCAUCAGAGAUUAAUUGUCAGACAUAGCUAUGUCUUAAUCCAAUGUGUCUAGACUUUCCAUUAUAUACUUGGCUAUAUACCUUUUUUUAGAGUAGUAUCAUUAUCACAAUGGAUAGAAAUAGGUGAAAUUGGUUUAGGCCAUAGAGGUAUAUCAUAAAGCAUAUUUCUUAACCAUUUUGGUUCUUUAGAUACAACGACUAAUACAAUAAAUUCGACUGUCAUGGUGGAAUCAGUAAUACAUGUUUGUCUCUUGGAACCCCAAGAAUUGGCUCAUCCACCAAGAAUGAAGAUCCAUCCAUUAGUAGAAACAUGAUCUUCCAAACUUGUAAUCCAACUAGUAUACGAAUACCCUUCUAAAACUAAAGGAUAUCCAUUAUAACACAACUCAUAGUUAAUAGUUUUCUUUAAGUACCUAAAUACUCUAUUCAAAGCUUAUCAAUGCAAAUUACUUGGAUUACUUGUGUACCUACUCAAUUUCCCAACAACAUAUGCAAUAUCUGGUCUAGUACAAGUCAUUAUGUACACAAGACAACCAAUUAGACUUGCAUAUUACAAUUGAUCAAUUUUCCUGCCAGCAUUAGAUACUAAUUUUAUUUGAAGAUUCAUAGGUGUAGAUACUGGUAUACAAUUGAAAAUAUCAAACUUUUUAAGCAACUUUUCAAUGUAAUGUGAUUGUGAUAAAGCUAUAGUGUUUUACUCUUGGGUUAUUUUAAUCCCAAGAAUAACAUUUGUUACAUCCAUAUCCUUCAUAGCAAAGUUUUUUGACAAGAAUUUCUUUUUGUUUUCUAUUUGUUCCAAAUCCGUGCCAAUAUGAGCAUGUCAUCUACAUAUAAGCAAAUUAUGACACAUUUUCCAUUUUCAGAUUUGCUAUUUAUGCACUUAUCAGAUUCAUUUAUUUUAUAGUCAUUAGUUAGAACAACCUUGUCAAACUUUUGGUGUCAUUGCUUUGGUGCUUGUUUAAGUCCAUAUAGAGAUUUAACAAGCUUACAUACCUUAUACUAUUGUCCUAGAACAAUAAAUCCUUUCUAUUGUUCCAUGUACACUUCCUCUUCGAAUUCACCAUUUAAAAGUGCAUUUUUAACAUCCAUUUGGUGAACAAUCAAAUUAUAAAUUGAGAUAAGUGAUAUUAAGAGUCUAAUCGUAGAAAUUCUUGCUACUAGAGCAUAGGUAUCAAAAUAAUCAAUACCUUGUUUUUAUGCAAAACCUUUGGCUACCAACCUUGCUUUAAAUUUAUAAAUGGUUUCAUCGACCUUCAGUUUCUUUUUGAAGAUCCAUUUACAACCUAUUGGUUUGGAACCCGAUGGAAGAUCAACUAAAAUCUAAGUUUGAUUUCCCAUUAUUGAAUCCAUCUCAUUAUUUAACUCUUCUUUCCAAAAAGUAGAGUCUUGAGAUUUCAUUUUCUCUUCAAAUGUAAUAAGAUCAAAUUCUGAAUUAUAACAAUAAGGUAUAUUUUGUCUAUGAUUUCACAUUUUCCUUCUACAAAGAACAUAAUGAAAUCUGGUCCAAAAUCUUUGACCUUUUUUUAAUCAUUUUACUUCUUAAUUUUUGACAAGAUUCAUCAUUAUUAUCAAUUUGUUCUAAUGGAAUCUCAUUCUCAUUUGAAGAAUGAAUUAAUUGUUGUGGUUGUAAUAAUCUUGAAAUAGAAUUAAAUCUAUUUUCAUAAAAAUAGCAUCUCUUGAUUCAAUAACAGUAUUAAUUGAAAUUGAAUCAUUUGGUUCAAUUACCAUGAACCUAUAAAUAUGCAUUCAACUCAUCUUUCGCCUAACUUUUUACGUUUAGGUGUUAGAUCUUUGACAAUAGCUCUACAACACCAAACCUUCAAAUAAUUAAGGUUUAGUUUCCUUUUCUUCCAUUGUUCAUAAGAAUUUAUUUUAGCUUCCUUAUUAAGAACUCUAUUCAAUAUUUGACAAGCUGUUAGAACAGCUUCUCCCCAAAAACCUUCUCCAAGACCUGAAUAUGAUAAUAUUGAAUUUACCAUUUCAGUCAAGACUCUAUUUUUCCUUUCAGCUAUACCGUUUUCUUGUGGUGUGUAAGGAGCUGAAACUUGAUGAAUAAUUCCAGUAGAUUCAAAAUAACUUGGAUUAUAGUAUUCUCCACCUCUAUCCGAUCUUAAGCUCUUGAUAAAUGAUUCACACUAAAGUUCAACUUCAGAUUUAUAAACUUUAAAAUUUUCAAGUGUUUCAUCUUUUGAAUGCAAUAAAUAUACAUAGCAAUAACUAGAACAAUCAUCAAUAAAAGUAACAAAAUAUUUCUUUCCACCUAAUGUAGGAGUAUUAUGCAUGUCACAUAAAACAAUAUCUAUCAAAUCAAACAACUUUGUUUUCCUUUUAACCUUAGGGUAAGGGUUUCUAGUAAUUUGAGUCAACAUACAUGUAUUGUAUUUUUCAAUAUUAUUAUUAAAAACGAGAAUUAAAUCUAACUUAUAUAUGUCAUUAAAUUUUCUGUAAUUCAAAUGACCUAAUCUAUACUGCCAUAAAUAAGAAGAUUCAACCAUAUAAGCAGAAGUAGUAUUUUUAUUCUUAUUAAUAAUAUUGAGUUUGAACAUGCCCGCAUACAUAUACUCUUUCCCUACAAAAAUUCAUCAUUUAGACAGAAUAAACUUAUUUGCCACAAAAACAAGUUUGGAAACAAACUUAUUUAACAAACUUCCAGACACUAAAUUCUUCCUAACUUCUGGUACAUGAUAUACAUCAUUCAAGGUUAAAACCUUUCCAGAAGUGAAUUGUAGUUCAAUAGACCCUUUGACUUUGAUUGCUAUGGUGAAAAAAUUUCCCAUGUACAAGACACUGUUGUUGGAUCACCGGUACAUCACGUGGCAUAGCGGAAAAAUUUUUUCAGCGAUCAUCAACCAUGGAUCCAUGGAUGAGGAACGAAUCAGGUUGAAAAAAGGCUAAAAAAUAUACCUUUCAAAAAUGAAAAACGAUGUGUAAGGUUGUUUAUAGGAUCUCUUCGGAGAUGUCAAUUCGAAGAUGCAACAAUAACGUCUCCGCUUCUAUGUAAUCCACCUAAUCAAAGAACAAAUAGCAAAAUUCUCUUGAACUUUUCAGAGAGAAUUUUCAAGAACGGCUGUUAGACCUUUUAGGUGUGUGUUUGUGUUUUUAGGUAACCCUAACACAUCAGGGAUUCAUAUUCCUUUUAUUUUUUCUUUGAUAUCUCAUAUUAGGAAAAAAAAAUUGAGAUUAUUCCCUUAUUUUUAAAGAAACAAAUAGAAAGUCAAAAUAAAAAUUAUAUUAUUUCUAAAAGAAUAUCAAUUUUCAUGUCUUUUUAUAUUUUGAUCAAAAUUAUUAUAAUUGUUUAUAUUAAUAAUUUCGGUAAACUAUAUUAAAUUAAUAUUUUGUAUGAAUCAAAUUCAUAUAUUAAUUUUAUAUAUGUUCUUUAUAUGUGUGCAACAAACUUGUACAUAUAAUGUGUUCAAUAUUUAACUAUCAAAUUAAUUUAAUUCAAUAAUUAAUUUAAUUCAUGUGACAACUAAAUACAAUACCAAAUGUAUUUGGAUUCUGUUCGCUUCAACUAUAGGUGUGACCUUGCAGGCUCUUGUAACGUUAGUAGUAAUACUAGAACGUUUCUACUAUUACGAGCAAUGAGUGGCAUCUAGCAAUGCAUAAUUGCUACCCAUGUUACAAGAAGUCGUGAUUCAACAUAACCUUUCCGUGAUAAUCUUUUUCAUGUAUUAUAUCCUUUUAUCCUUAAUAUCUAGAUUAGACAUAAGUCAUGGAAUAGUCACACUUGUAUAGUUCAAUCUCAUAUUUCUUGAUAUUCUAAGUAGACUACAAUAAACAAAUAAGUGUGAUAUCUCAUAUCAACUUAUUCGAGCAUGACCAUGCAUUUCUAGCCUUACUCCAUCAAGAAGCUUAAGAUAUUGCUCCCAUUAUGCAUGAGGGAUAAAUCCUAUCUUGAUCAAUCAUAUCCCUUUACAUAGAUUGCGACAUACUCAACAUCAGUCUUUAUAGUAUAACCUGUUAUGGUAGACGUUUGACUGUGUCAAAAUAUACAACUCACUAUGUUGGGACAAUGAUGAUCUCAAGUCUAAGGAUCAUAUACAUAGUUAUCACUAUGAUUAAUAUUGUGACUAUUACAUAAUAAUCCAAAAAUCAUACUCAUAACAAGUCAGCCGAGUAUGUUUUUCUCUAACACAUACUCAUGUAUCGAUUUUGACAUCUCUGCGUCAAUGACAACACUUUGUUAUCAAUAAACUAGAUAUUAGUCUCAAUGCAUUAUCAUUGUCCAAGUCCAUAAUAAUACUUGGCUAAAGACUUUUUAAGAAUAAUCAUAUUAUUCUCAAGGCUUUAUUAAACUAGUUUAUUUGUACGCAUAGAAAAAGUAACUAAAAUAACAAUGGCAAUACACUAUAUUAACAAACCAAGUAAAACGAGUAAGUGAUUACAAUCAUCUCAUGAUUGGUCUUUGGGCAAUAUUCACAUUGUGUGAACUUUGUGAACAUGUUUUUGUCUUUGCGCACAUGUUUGGUUGCUCCAGUAUCAAUCCACCAUGAAUUAUCAUCUUGUGCCAUAUUAAUUUCAAAAAUCAUGGCAAUGAACUUUUCAUUAUUAUCAACCUUAGAAGAUUGUUUCUUCUUUAAAGAUCGACAUUCAUUCUUAAAAUAUCUUGGCUUACCACAAUGAUAGCAUGAGUCAUUUUUUUUUGAACUUAGGUGCUCUAUCAGUCUGUUUGAAUUUUCUCUUGGAUGGUUUAGUUGUCUGUACUUCCUUCGUAACAUGCACUUUGGCAUUUUUAGAAUCUAGGUUCUGAUCUUGCUUUCGAUAUUCUUCUUCAAUAAAAAAAAUGAUUUGCCAAAGCCUCAAGAGAUAUUUCCUCUUUCUUAUGUUUUAGACUUCUUUUAAAGUCUUUCCAAGAUGGAGAAAGUUUGUCUAUAAUGGAGGAUGCAACAAUAAUUUCAUCCAUUUUCAUAUCAUAUUGCUUAAAUUGAUGCAACAUUUUUUCAA